RNAcentral lists this ribosomal RNA (501 nucleotides) under uncultured bacterium. RNAcentral's name for it is "partial 16S ribosomal RNA". It matches the Rfam family "Bacterial small subunit ribosomal RNA", at positions 30 to 523 of the family's 1533-position model. The record is from RNAcentral.
ACUGAACGCUGGCGGCAGGCUUAACACAUGCAAGUCGAGCGGGGUGAUGGUGCUUGCACUAUCACUUAGCGGCGGACGGGUGAGUAAUGCUUAGGAAUCUGCCUAUUAGUGGGGGACAACAUCUCGAAAGGGAUGCUAAUACCGCAUACGUCCUACGGGAGAAAGCAGGGGAUCUUCGGACCUCGCGCUAAUAGAUGAGCCUAAGUCGGAUUAGCUAGUUGGUGGGGUAAAGGCCUACCAAGGCGACGAUCUGUAGCGGGUCUGAGAGGAUGAUCCGCCACACUGGGACUGAGACACGGACCAGACUCCUACGGGAGGCAGCAGUGGGGAAUAUUGGACAAUGGGGGGAACCCUGAUCCAGCCAUGCCGCGUGUGUGAAGAAGGCCUUAUGGUUGUAAAGCACUUUAAGCGAGGAGGAGGCUACUCUAGUUAAUACCUAGGGAUAGUGGACGUUACUCGCAGAAUAAGCACCGGCUAACUCUGUGCCAGCCGCCGCAGUAA